This 313-nucleotide ribosomal RNA is filed under the name uncultured bacterium. RNAcentral's name for it is "bacterial SSU rRNA". It matches the Rfam family "Bacterial small subunit ribosomal RNA", at positions 28 to 334 of the family's 1533-position model. The record is from RNAcentral.
GAUGAACGCUGGCGGCGUGCCUAACACAUGCAAGUCGAGCGCGGUCCCUUUGGUGCUUGCACCAAAGACGACUGAGCGGGCGUAGGGCAAGGUACGCUAGGUUAACGUGCCUGUACAUAUGGAUAACAUGCUGAAAAGCAUACUAAUACAUAAUAACGUAUAUUGAAGGCAUCUUCGAUGUAUCAAAGCGUUAGCGGUACAGGAUGGACCCGCGUCUGAUUAGCUAGUUGGUGGGGUAAAAGCCUACCAAGGCGACGAUCAGUAGCCGACCUGAGAGGGUGAUCGGCCACAUUGGAACUGAGACACGGUCCAA